This 497-nucleotide ribosomal RNA is filed under the name uncultured bacterium. Its description in RNAcentral is "partial 16S ribosomal RNA". It matches the Rfam family "Bacterial small subunit ribosomal RNA", at positions 28 to 507 of the family's 1533-position model. The record is from RNAcentral.
GAUGAACGCUGGCGGCGUGCCUAAUACAUGCAAGUCGAGCGAACAGACGAGGAGCUUGCUCCUCUGACGUUAGCGGCGGACGGGUGAGUAACACGUGGAUAACCUACCUAUAAGACUGGGAUAACUUCGGGAAACCGGAGCUAAUACCGGAUAAUAUAUUGAACCGCAUGGUUCAAUAGUGAAAGACGGUUUUGCUGUCACUUAUAGAUGGAUCCGCGCCGCAUUAGCUAGUUGGUAAGGUAACGGCUUACCAAGGCAACGAUGCGUAGCCGACCUGAGAGGUGGAUCGGCCACGCCGGAACUAGGACACGGUCCAUACUCCUAAGGGAGGCAGCAGUAGGGAAACUUCCGCAAAGGGCGAAAGCCUGACGGAGCCACGCCCCGUGAGUUAUCAAAGUCUUUGUGUCGUAAAACUUUUUUAUUAGGGAAGAACAAAUGUGUAAGUAACUAUGCACGUCUUGACGGUACCUAAUCAGAAAGCCACGGCUAACUACGUG